CCUACGGGGGGCAGCAGUGAGGAAUAUUGGUCAAUGGACGAAAGUCUGAACCAGCCAAGUAGCGUGAAGGAUGACUGCCCUAUGGGUUGUAAACUUCUUUUAUAUGGGAAUAAAAUGUGGCACGUGUGGGGUUUUGUAUGUACCAUAUGAAUAAGGAUCGGCUAACUCCGUGCCAGCAGCCGCGGUACUACGGAGGAUCCGAGCGUUAUCCGGAUUUAUUGGGUUUAAAGGGGGCGUAGGUGGAUUGGUGAGUCAGUUGUGAAAGUUUGCGGCUCAACCGUAAGAUUGCAGUUGAAACUGGCAGUCUUGAGUACAGUAGAGGUGAGCGGAAUUCGUGGGGUAGCGGUGAAAUGCUUAGAUAUCACGAAGAACUCCGAUUGCGAAGGCAGCUCACUGGGCUGCAAAUGACACUGAGGCUCGAAAGUGGGGGGAUCAAACAGGAUUAGAUAACCGAGUAGUC
This 460-nucleotide ribosomal RNA is filed under the name uncultured bacterium. Its description in RNAcentral is "partial 16S ribosomal RNA". It matches the Rfam family "Bacterial small subunit ribosomal RNA", at positions 338 to 795 of the family's 1533-position model. The record is from RNAcentral.